Molecule: ribosomal RNA, 268 nt
Filed under: uncultured bacterium
Lineage: Bacteria
Description: partial 16S ribosomal RNA
Rfam family: Bacterial small subunit ribosomal RNA
Source: RNAcentral
ACGUAGGGUGCGAGCGUUGUCCGGAAUUAUUGGGCGUAAAGAGCUUGUAGGCGGUUUGUCGCGUCUGCUGUGAAAAUCCGGGGCUCAACCCCGGACUUGCAGUGGGUGGGCAGACUAGAGUGUGGUAGGGGAGACUGGAUUCCUGGUGUAGCGGUGAAUGCGCAGAUAUCAGGAGGAACACCGAUGGCGAAGGCAGGUCUCUGGGCCACUACUGACGCUGAGAAGCGAAAGCAUGGGGAGCGAACAGGAUUAGAUACCCGGGUAGUCC